Molecule: ribosomal RNA, 744 nt
Filed under: uncultured bacterium
Lineage: Bacteria
Description: bacterial SSU rRNA
Rfam family: Bacterial small subunit ribosomal RNA
Source: RNAcentral
AGAGUUUGAUCAUGGCUCAGAACGAACGCUGGCGGCAGGCUUAACACAUGCAAGUCGAACGGUUGUAGCAAUACAGCAGUGGCGCACGGGUGAGUAACGCGUGGGAACAUACCUUUCAGUUCGGAAUAACCUCGGGAAACUGAGGCUAAUACCGGAUAUUCUCUCCGGAGGAAAGAUUUAUCGCUGAAAGAUUGGCCCGCGUCAGAUUAGCUAGUUGGUGGGGUAAUGGCCUACCAAGGCUCCGAUCUGUAGCUGGUCUGAGAGGACGACCAGCCACACUGGAACUGAGACACGGUCCAGACUCCUACGGGAGGCAGCAGUGGGGAAUAUUGGACAAUGGGCGAAAGCCUGAUCCAGCCAUGCCGCGUGAAUGAUGAAGGCCUUAGGGUUGUAAAGUUCUUUUGCCAGGGAAGAUAAUGACGGUACCUGGAGAAUAAGCACCGGCUAACUUCGUGCCAGCAGCCGCGGUAAUACGAAGGGUGCUAGCGUUGUUCGGAGUUACUGGGCGUAAAGCGCGCGUAGGCGGUAAUGCAAGUCAGGGGUGAAAUCCCGGAGCUUAACUCCGGAACUGCCUUUGAAACUGCAUUGCUGGAGUGUGUGAGGGGAUAGCGGAAUUCCUAAUGUAGAGGUGAAAUUCGUAGAUAUUAGGAGGAACACCGGUGGCGAAGGCGGCUAUCUGGCACACAACUGACGCUGAGGCGCGAAAGCGUGGGGAUCAAACAGGAUUAGAUACCCUAGUAGUCC